Non-coding RNA from Cinara cedri, 289 nucleotides. Lineage: Eukaryota; Metazoa; Arthropoda; Insecta; Hemiptera; Aphididae. The record is from the annotation of a GenBank genome assembly.
CCAGAUUUGAGAUUCAUAGUAUAGUCUAUACUAAUUAAAACAUAACUGAGAUUUAUUUCUCAGAGAACACUUGGAUAAUAAAAAUGCUCCGAUUUAUUUGUUUGAAUGACUGAUGCAGUUUUUCCAUCCAGUAGACAAAUUUCAGACAUUGUAAAAAUAGUGAACUAAUUCUUUAAAAUGACAAUAACAAAUAUGUUAUAAAUAAGCAAUGUUUAAAACAAGAGGAGAGUGUAGUUUAUUGUUAUUUAUUACUACUAUUACUAUGUAUAAUUUUUGUAGAUAUAUCCUA